UUGAACUUGUCUGACUUUUUCAAAAAAACACCAUUACUGCCGCUACCGGGCACCGUCAUGGUGAAAUCCGCCGGAUAGACCCUCCCUCCAUAAAAAUUCCACCAGAAAACAUCGAAAUCGGCGAGUCCAAUAGAAGCCACCAACCCACCCAUCGCCGGAAACGACAUUCCUUGACUGAAAAAUAUCAAAAUAAUCACAAAACAC
RNAcentral lists this long non-coding RNA (204 nucleotides) under Capsicum annuum. RNAcentral's name for it is "long non-coding RNA (CANN_LNC019160)". Lineage: Eukaryota; Viridiplantae; Streptophyta; Magnoliopsida; Solanales; Solanaceae. The record is from RNAcentral.